This 90-nucleotide transfer RNA is filed under the name Pseudomonadota bacterium. RNAcentral's name for it is "tRNA-Ser". It matches the Rfam family "tRNA". Rfam says of the family: Transfer RNA (tRNA) molecules are approximately 80 nucleotides in length. Their secondary structure includes four short double-helical elements and three loops (D, anti-codon, and T loops). The record is from RNAcentral. RNAcentral also lists the same sequence under 1 other name. Lineage: Bacteria; Pseudomonadati; Pseudomonadota.
GGAGGGUUGGCCGAGCGGACGAAGGCGGCGGCCUUGAAAGCCGCUGUUCCGGCAACGGAACCGUGGGUUCGAAUCCUACACCCUCCGCCA